AAUAGAAGAAAAAACAACACGUGUAUUUUGGGUUUGAUCACACUGAUGUAAUCUGGUGUAAUGAGAGAAAUGUAAUCUUUUGAAGAAUAUUUGAAAAACAGCGCUUAAAGACAGAUGAUCUGAAUUAUGUGUCCAUAUAAAAAAGAAGAUGUUGUAUGAUUGUCAAUGAGACAACUCUCCACAAAAGACCAAAUGACACAGAAAUUAACAACUAUAGGUCACCGUACGGCCUUCAACAAUGAGCAAAGC
RNAcentral lists this long non-coding RNA (249 nucleotides) under Mytilus galloprovincialis (Mediterranean mussel). The record is from RNAcentral. Lineage: Eukaryota; Metazoa; Mollusca; Bivalvia; Mytilida; Mytilidae.